RNAcentral lists this non-coding RNA (21 nucleotides) under Caenorhabditis elegans. The record is from RNAcentral. Lineage: Eukaryota; Metazoa; Nematoda; Chromadorea; Rhabditida; Rhabditidae.
UUCAUACAUAGUCAAUAAAUU